GGCGUGCUAAUACAUGCAAGUCGAACGCUUCUUUUUCCACCGGAGCUUGCUCCACCGGAAAAAGAGGAGUGGCGAACGGGUGAGUAACACGUGGGUAACCUGCCCAUCAGAAGGGGAUAACACUUGGAAACAGGUGCUAAUACCGUAUAACAAUCAAAACCGCAUGGUUUUGAUUUGAAAGGCGCUUUCGGGUGUCGCUGAUGGAUGGACCCGCGGUGCAUUAGCUAGUUGGUGAGGUAACGGCUCACCAAGGCCACGAUGCAUAGCCGACCUGAGAGGGUGAUCGGCCACAUUGGGACUGAGACACGGCCCAAACUCCUACGGGAGGCAGCAGUAGGGAAUCUUCGGCAAUGGACGAAAGUCUGACCGAGCAACGCCGCGUGAGUGAAGAAGGUUUUCGGAUCGUAAAACUCUGUUGUUAGAGAAGAACAAGGAUGAGAGUAACUGUUCAUCCCUUGACGGUAUCUAACCAGAAAGCCACGGCUAACUACGUGCCAGCAGCCGCGGUAAUACGUAGGUGGCAAGCGUUGUCCGGAUUUAUUGGGCGUAAAGCGAGCGCAGGCGGUUUCUUAAGUCUGAUGUGAAAGCCCCCGGCUCAACCGGGGAGGGUCAUUGGAAACUGGGAGACUUGAGUGCAGAAGAGGAGAGUGGAAUUCCAUGUGUAGCGGUGAAAUGCGUAGAUAUAUGGAGGAACACCAGUGGCGAAGGCGGCUCUCUGGUCUGUAACUGACGCUGAGGCUC
RNAcentral lists this ribosomal RNA (741 nucleotides) under Enterococcus sp. RNAcentral's name for it is "bacterial SSU rRNA". It matches the Rfam family "Bacterial small subunit ribosomal RNA", at positions 41 to 754 of the family's 1533-position model. Lineage: Bacteria; Bacillati; Bacillota; Bacilli; Lactobacillales; Enterococcaceae. The record is from RNAcentral.